CAGCAGUGGGGAAUCUUCCGCAAUGGGCGCAAGCCUGACGGAGCAACGCCGCGUGAGUGAAGAAGGUCUUCGGAUCGUAAAGCUCUGUUGAGAGGGACGAGAGAUAUAAUCAGGAAAUGGGUUAUAGAGGACGGUACCUUUCGAGGAAGCCACGGCUAACUACGUGCCAGCAGCCGCGGUAAUACGUAGGUGGCGAGCGUUGUCCGGAAUUAUUGGGCGUAAAGGGAGCGCAGGUGGGAGAGUAAGUCAGUCUUAAAAGUUCGGGGCUCAACCCCGUGAUGGGAUUGAAACUACUUUUCUUGAGUGCAGGAGAGGAAAGCGGAAUUCCUAGUGUAGCGGUGAAAUGCGUAGAUAUUAGGAGGAACACCAGUGGCGAAGGCGGCUUUCUGGACUGUAACUGACACUGAGGCUCGAAAGCGUGGGGAGCGAACAGGAUUAGA
RNAcentral lists this ribosomal RNA (440 nucleotides) under uncultured Anaerovibrio sp. RNAcentral's name for it is "bacterial SSU rRNA". It matches the Rfam family "Bacterial small subunit ribosomal RNA", at positions 349 to 782 of the family's 1533-position model. Lineage: Bacteria; Bacillati; Bacillota; Negativicutes; Selenomonadales; Selenomonadaceae. The record is from RNAcentral.